UUGGAGGGCAAGUCUGGUGCCAGCAGCCGCGGUAAUUCCAGCUCCAAUAGCGUAUAUUAAAGUUGUUGCAGUUAAAAAGCUCGUAGUUGAACCUCGGGGUCUACCCAUUGGUCAGGCUUAAUUGUCUGCACUGGUGAGAUGGAUCUCUACCUUCUGAGGAACUUUCAUGCCAUUUAUUUGGUGUGAUGGGAAAUCAGGACUGUUACUUUGAAAAAUUAGAGUGUUUAAAGCAGACUAUCGUCUGAAUACAUUAGCAUGGAAUAAUGAAAUAGGACGGACUGAUUCAUUUCGUAGGUUCUAGGAUCACCGUAAUGAUUAAUAGGGAUAGUUGGGGGCA
This 337-nucleotide ribosomal RNA is filed under the name Diversispora sp. RNAcentral describes it as "SSU rRNA". It matches the Rfam family "Eukaryotic small subunit ribosomal RNA", at positions 548 to 890 of the family's 1831-position model. The record is from RNAcentral. Lineage: Eukaryota; Fungi; Glomeromycota; Glomeromycetes; Diversisporales; Diversisporaceae.